UGCGUAGGCGGAUUAAUAAGUCAGUGGUGAAAUCUUUCGGCUCAACCGAGAAACUGCCAUUGAUACUGUUAAUCUUGAGUUCGGUUGAGGUAGGCGGAAUGUGUAAUGUAGCGGAGAAAUGCUUAGAUAUUACACAGAACACCAAUUGCGUAGGCAGCUUACUAGACCGACACUGACGCUGAGGCACGAAAGCGUGGGGAGCGAACAGGAUUAGAUACCCUGGUAGUCC
This 229-nucleotide ribosomal RNA is filed under the name uncultured bacterium. Its description in RNAcentral is "partial 16S ribosomal RNA". It matches the Rfam family "Bacterial small subunit ribosomal RNA", at positions 568 to 796 of the family's 1533-position model. The record is from RNAcentral.